This 21-nucleotide microRNA is filed under the name Triticum aestivum (bread wheat). RNAcentral's name for it is "tae-miR1122b-3p". Lineage: Eukaryota; Viridiplantae; Streptophyta; Magnoliopsida; Poales; Poaceae. The record is from miRBase by way of RNAcentral.
AGACUUAUAUGUAGGAACGGA